Molecule: ribosomal RNA, 497 nt
Filed under: uncultured bacterium
Lineage: Bacteria
Description: partial 16S ribosomal RNA
Rfam family: Bacterial small subunit ribosomal RNA
Source: RNAcentral
GAUGAACGCUGGCGGCGUGCCUAAUACAUGCAAGUCGAGCGAACAGAUAAGGAGCUUGCUCCUUUGACGUUAGCGGCGGACGGGUGAGUAACACGUGGGUAACCUACCUAUAAGACUGGGAUAACUUCGGGAAACCGGAGCUAAUACCGGAUAAUAUUUCGAACCGCAUGGUUCGAUAGUGGAAGAUGGUUUUGCUAUCACUUAUAGAUGGACCCGCGCCGUAUUAGCUAGUUGGUAAGGUAACGGCUUACCAAGGCGACGAUACGUAGCCGACCUGAGAGGGUGAUCGGGCACACUGGAACUGAGACACGGUCCAGACUCCGAGGGGAGGCAGCAGUAGGGAAUCUUCCGCAAUGGGCGAAAGCCUGACGGAGCAACGCCGCGUGAGUGAUGAAGGUCUUCGGAUCGUAAAACUCUGUUAUUAGGGAAGAACAUACGUGUAAGUAACUGUGCACGUCUUGACGGUACCUAAUCAGAAAGCCACGGCUAACUACGUG